GUCUAGUGUGGCGCUCUCCCAGCUGCCCUCACAGCUCACAAGAAUGGAAACAAAGGAUGUAGAAGACGAGCUAACAUGGAGCAGAGAAACAAUCCCAAGAGUCAUGAAGAUAGUCAGCACGAGACUCCCUCAAAGAGACCUUGUGUCUCUUCUGCUUGUUAGCCCUUGGCUCCACCGCACUCUCAUCUCUUACCUCUCUCUUUGGCUGGUUCUUGAUUUUCGUGAGAUGAAUAAGGCUGGAGAUAGACUUAUAAGGGCUCUUUCACUGUCAAGAUACCAGCAUGUGAAGCAGAUUAACCUUGAAUUUGCACAAGAUAUUGAAGACAGACAUCUUGAAGUCCUUCAAAACAAGUCUAUCAUUUCUCUUCAAAGCUUGGAGUCGUUAAAUUUGAAUGGCUGCCAGAAGAUCUCUGACAAGGAAAUAGGAAUAGAAGCUAUAACCAGUGCUUGUCCAAAACUGAAGGUCUUCUCUAUUUAUUGGAAUGUGAGGGUGA
RNAcentral lists this unclassified non-coding RNA (494 nucleotides) under Hevea brasiliensis (rubber tree). Lineage: Eukaryota; Viridiplantae; Streptophyta; Magnoliopsida; Malpighiales; Euphorbiaceae. The record is from RNAcentral.